RNAcentral lists this transfer RNA (73 nucleotides) under Thorea hispida. RNAcentral's name for it is "tRNA-Gly". It matches the Rfam family "tRNA". Rfam says of the family: Transfer RNA (tRNA) molecules are approximately 80 nucleotides in length. Their secondary structure includes four short double-helical elements and three loops (D, anti-codon, and T loops). Lineage: Eukaryota; Rhodophyta; Florideophyceae; Thoreales; Thoreaceae. The record is from RNAcentral.
ACGAGUAUAAGUAAAAGAGGUAUACUAUUAAUUUUCCAAAUUAAAAUUAUAGGUUCAAAUCCUGUUAUUCGUA